GAUGAACGCUGGCGGCGUGCUUAACACAUGCAAGUCGAGCGAAGCACUUAGGAAAGAUUCUUCGGAGGAUUUCCUAUUUGACUGAGCGGCGGACGGGUGAGUAACGCGUGGGUAACCUGCCUCAUACAGGGGGAUAACAGUUAGAAAUGACUGCUAAUACCGCAUAAGACCACAGCACCGCAUGGUGCAGGGGUAAAAACUCCGGUGGUAUGAGAUGGACCCGCGUCUGAUUAGUUAGUUGGUGGGGUAACGGCCUACCAAGGCGACGAUCAGUAGCCGACCUGAGAGGGUGACCGGCCACAUUGGGACUGAGACACGGCCCAAACUCCUACGGGAGGCAGCAGUGGGGAAUAUUGCACAAUGGGGGAAACCCUGAUGCAGCGACGCCGCGUGAGCGAAGAAGUAUUUCGGUAUGUAAAGCUCUAUCAGCAGGGAAGAAAAUGACGGUACCUGACUAAGAAGCCCCGGCUAACUACGUGCCAGCCGCCGCGGUAA
Molecule: ribosomal RNA, 495 nt
Filed under: uncultured bacterium
Lineage: Bacteria
Description: partial 16S ribosomal RNA
Rfam family: Bacterial small subunit ribosomal RNA
Source: RNAcentral